Molecule: long non-coding RNA, 231 nt
Filed under: Ananas comosus (pineapple)
Lineage: Eukaryota; Viridiplantae; Streptophyta; Magnoliopsida; Poales; Bromeliaceae
Description: long non-coding RNA (ACOM_LNC022746)
Source: RNAcentral
UGCGUUAGUAAUGAGUAGGAAUUACGCGUAAUUACUGUUUCUAGAGCAAGUGGUAAAGGGUUAGUGGCGAGGUCCCAAGUGCGAACCCUAGUUGAUUUAUAUUUCUACCUAAGUUUAUUUCUAAAUGAAAUAAACGAAGCGGGUAGCAUGCUAUCUAUCUCUCUCAAAAAAAAAUUUAAAAAAAAUUUCACCAAUUUUUGCCCCUUUUUUUUUCUUUUCCUUGAAAAUUAU